GAGUCCAGACCGAGACCCAGAGAAAUGUAAACAAACGCACCAGUCAGACUUGAUAUAGGAGUGAAUUUGUUGCUUUUUAAAGCGGCAGUCGGUCUGUACAUGUGUGAGGUGGCGAGGGGUGUCGCCAGGGGGCGGCUAGUAGCGUCUGCCACCAGGGAAAUAUGUAAAAACAUAAAAAAGACGCUUCUCAAGAAAGAGAGGGGCAGUCGGUCUGUACAUGCGUGAGGUGGCGAGAGGCGUGUCCAGGGGGCGGCUAGUAGCGUGUGCCACCGUGGAAAUAUGUACAGACAUAAAGAAGACGCCCUCAAGAAAGGCCUGAGUCCAGACCGAGACCCAGAGAAAUGUAAACAAACGCACCAGUCAGACUUGAUAUAGGAGUGAAUUUGUUGCUUUUUAAAGCGGCAGUCGGUCUGUACAUGUGUGAGGUGGCGAGGGGUGUCGCCAGGGGGCGGCUAGUAGCGUCUGCCACCAGGGAAAUAUGUAAAAACAUAAAAAAGACGCCUCUCAAGAAAGAGAGGGGCAGUCGGUCUGUACAUGCGUGAGGUGGCGAGAGGCGUGUCCAGGGGGCGGCUAGUAGCGUGUGCCACCGUGGAAAUAUGUACAGACAUAAAGAAGACGCCCUCAAGAAAGGCCUGAGUCCAGACCGAGACCCAGAGAAAUGUAAACAAACGCACCAGUCAGACUUGAUAUAGGAGUGAAUUUGUUGCUUUUUAAAGCGGCAGUCGGUCUGUACAUGUGUGAGGUGGCGAGGGGUGUCGCCAGGGGGCGGCUAGUAGCGUCUGCCACCAGGGAAAUAUGUAAAAACAUAAAAAAGACGCCUCUCAAGAAAGAGAGGGGCAGUCGGUCUGUACAUGCGUGAGGUGGCGAGAGGCGUGUCCAGGGGGCGGCUAGUAGCGUGUGCCACCGUGGAAAUAUGUACAGACAUAAAGAAGACGCCCUCAAGAAAGGCCUGAGUCCAGACCGAGACCCAGAGAAAUGUAAACAAACGCACCAGUCAGACUUGAUAUAGGAGUGAAUUUGUUGCUUUUUAAAGCGGCAGUCGGUCUGUACAUGUGUGAGGUGGCGAGGGGUGUCGCCAGGGGGCGGCUAGUAGCGUCUGCCACCAGGGAAAUAUGUAAAAACAUAAAAAAGACGCCUCUCAAGAAAGAGAGGGGCAGUCGGUCUGUACAUGCGUGAGGUGGCGAGAGGCGUGUCCAGGGGGCGGCUAGUAGCGUGUGCCACCGUGGAAAUAUGUACAGACAUAAAGAAGACGCCCUCAAGAAAGGCCUGAGUCCAGACCGAGACCCAGAGAAAUGUAAACAAACGCACCAGUCAGACUUGAUAUAGGAGUGAAUUUGUUGCUUUUUAAAGCGGCAGUCGGUCUGUACAUGUGUGAGGUGGCGAGGGGUGUCGCCAGGGGGCGGCUAGUAGCGUCUGCCACCAGGGAAAUAUGUAAAAACAUAAAAAAGACGCCUCUCAAGAAAGAGAGGGGCAGUCGGUCUGUACAUGCGUGAGGUGGCGAGAGGCGUGUCCAGGGGGCGGCUAGUAGCGUGUGCCACCGUGGAAAUAUGUACAGACAUAAAGAAGACGCCCUCAAGAAAGGCCUGAGUCCAGACCGAGACCCAGAGAAAUGUAAACAAACGCACCAGUCAGACUUGAUAUAGGAGUGAAUUUGUUGCUUUUUAAAGCGGCAGUCGGUCUGUACAUGUGUGAGGUGGCGAGGGGUGUCGCCAGGGGGCGGCUAGUAGCGUCUGCCACCAGGGAAAUAUGUAAAAACAUAAAAAAGACGCUUCUCAAGAAAGAGAGGGGCAGUCGGUCUGUACAUGCGUGAGGUGGCGAGAGGCGUGUCCAGGGGGCGGCUAGUAGCGUGUGCCACCGUGGAAAUAUGUACAGACAUAAAGAAGACGCCCUCAAGAAAGGUAAGGCCGGUUCCAGCUUUUAUUUUUAUUUAUUUAUUUCCAUCCCGGCCUGGGACCCCCCCUUUCCCGAGUCCUGAGGUGUUGGGGGACGG
Scylla paramamosain (green mud crab) is the source of this 1990-nucleotide long non-coding RNA. RefSeq lists it as uncharacterized. The transcript is spliced from 12 exons. The record is from RefSeq and is a predicted model, not a curated record. Lineage: Eukaryota; Metazoa; Arthropoda; Malacostraca; Decapoda; Portunidae.